UGCUUACACAUGCAAGUCGAACGAUGAAGCCUUCGGGUGGAUUAGUGGCGAACGGGUGAGUAACACGUGGGCAAUCUGCCCUGCACUCUGGGACAAGCCCUGGAAACGGGGUCUAAUACCGGAUAACACUGUCCCCCUCCUGGGGGACGGUUGAAAGCUCCGGCGGUGCAGGAUGAGCCCGCGGCCUAUCAGCUUGUUGGUGGGGUAAUGGCCUACCAAGGCGACGACGGGUAGCCGGCCUGAGAGGGCGACCGGCCACACUGGGACUGAGACACGGCCCAGACUCCUACGGGAGGCAGCAGUGGGGAAUAUUGCACAAUGGGCGAAAGCCUGAUGCAGCGACGCCGCGUGAGGGAUGACGGCCUUCGGGUUGUAAACCUCUUUCAGCAGGGAAGAAGCGAAAGUGACGGUACCUGCAGAAGAAGCGCCGGCUAACUACGUGCCAGCACG
RNAcentral lists this ribosomal RNA (450 nucleotides) under Streptomyces sp. A00088. RNAcentral's name for it is "bacterial SSU rRNA". It matches the Rfam family "Bacterial small subunit ribosomal RNA", at positions 45 to 515 of the family's 1533-position model. Lineage: Bacteria; Bacillati; Actinomycetota; Actinomycetes; Kitasatosporales; Streptomycetaceae. The record is from RNAcentral.